CAAAGUGAAGGGUGUCUGGAUAACACAGAUUACACUCAAUAGAGUACAGAUCAGAAAAGUUGAAGAAUUAGAGGGAGGAGGUGUUAGGGAUAUUCUGGAGUGGACACAAGGCACUUUCAAGAUGGAGUAAAGGGUGUCUGGAUUACAUUGAUUACACUCAAUAGAGUAGAGGUCAGGAAAUGAAAUUCUGUCACUCUUCUGGUUUCCGGUCAAUAUAAAUUGUGGGCUUUCACAAUCACAGUGGAGCAGAAUAAAUAUCCAGAUGCAUUAUCAUAUCAUUCACAAAAAGUGGACAGUGAAGCUAACUGCGCAUGUUUUCCUAGUUAACAGUCUUUUUUCUUUUGUUCAGGAUGCCAUCUGCAAUUCUACAAUUCUUGAAUUGGCAUGCAAUGGAGUUGGACUCUGUGGGCAUCAAUUUAUUUUCUUCCUAUUCGAUCAAUAAUACUAUGCCGAAAGCUGCAGGAAUGGGAUUUGGAGUCGUGGAGCAUGAACCUUGCAAAAAGGAUUAAAAACACAAGGUAAGUGGGAUGUGAAGGAACUGAUUAGAAGUUAAUUGGCAUUUGGCAACUAACUGUUUCAAUAUCCACCUGAAUGUGCUGUGUUUCCUUGGGGUAAUCGAGGGACCCAUAACCCUCUGGCUUAGACCGUAAAGGUUUGUGUUGAGCCAUUCCUCAUUCACAUUGUUCACCAUUGGACUCGGACGGUACACAGGAACACCCAAAACUC
RNAcentral lists this unclassified non-coding RNA (726 nucleotides) under Hevea brasiliensis (rubber tree). The record is from RNAcentral. Lineage: Eukaryota; Viridiplantae; Streptophyta; Magnoliopsida; Malpighiales; Euphorbiaceae.